RNAcentral lists this long non-coding RNA (400 nucleotides) under Capsicum annuum. Its description in RNAcentral is "long non-coding RNA (CANN_LNC018991)". The record is from RNAcentral. Lineage: Eukaryota; Viridiplantae; Streptophyta; Magnoliopsida; Solanales; Solanaceae.
UAUUUUUUUAUCGGUUAAAUCAAAAAUCAAAUCGUUAGGAAUUAAAAACCGAUAACUAAUAUAACUACAUUUAUUAUAAGUAUGUGUCUUAGUUUCUUUAGUAUUUUUUUUGUUAAUAUUGUUUAAAAUAUUUGCUUAAAUAUUUAGUAUAUUUUUUUAGUUACAAUAACUCAUAUGAUACAUAUAAUUAAGAUUACAAAAUUGAAGGAGUUUCAUAGGAAUGAAAACUGGAGUUUUAGAUUGAAUUAAUAAAUGGAUGAAUUUUUUUUUUUUAGAUUAAUAAGCAAAAAUUUUACAAAAUUAAUAAACGGAUGAAAUUUUUAUUUCAUAACUAAUUAAUAAACUGUAGUUUUACAAAAUUAAUAAACGGAUGAAUUUUUUUUUAGAUUGGAAGUAAUGG